GUAUCGACGCUGACUAAACACCGGAACAGAUUCUAUGAAGCCUUUAUGUGCGGUGGUGGAAAUCUUUCAGCCUCCUGAAAGAAUCACAGGCACCUUACAGCAAUCCAGUUAUUACAUAAACAGCGAUCUCAAGGGUAACUUUUUUUUCCCCCUGGACACCCAUGCUACACAAAGCGCCUGCCUUGCUGCCUCCUCCCCACUGCGGCGAAGCAAUCUCAUUGGAGGACUGCAAAAGUCACGGGUUGACAAUCAGGUCUACAGCAUGAAGGAUUCUAACUGUUGCUAAGGUACUUUGAAUGGUGAUUUGACCAUUACAUGAGUUCAUUUGCUAUCCAUCUUCAACCGCCGAAUGCUCAGAAAUGGUGUGAAACUUGGUCAGAGUGUGAAAUCCAGGGAUUACUCAGUUUCCCAUCAGUGGAGCCAGACAUCCUGCUCCGUCACAUGCUGUCUGGGGUGUCGACAGCUUCGGGGAACGUUUGUUAUUGAGAUUUGACCCACAUCGUGUCGGAUUCCUUCGUGUUCUGUUUCUUUAUUCUUUUCUUUUUUCUCUGCCAAGAUAAAUUUGGCAAAGACACAUGCUGCCUACAGGGGUGGCUUUUAUAAAGCGAGCUGAAAAAACAAACUAGGGUUCACUCUCAGUUCAGAGUUCACGAAGUCGAUUCCUUGCUGCAGAUCGGAGACAUAAACAGUGACUAGGUUUAUGUUUAAUUGCAUUUUGAUUUGGAGUUACACUUGUCAUUUUAAUACGCAGUGAAAGUUCUGU
This is a long non-coding RNA of Poecilia latipinna (sailfin molly), 763 nucleotides long. RefSeq lists it as uncharacterized. The transcript is spliced from 3 exons. The record is from RefSeq and is a predicted model, not a curated record. Lineage: Eukaryota; Metazoa; Chordata; Actinopteri; Cyprinodontiformes; Poeciliidae.